CUGGAAUGAUGAGAUUCCACUUCAUUGGUCCGUGUUUCUGAAAAACACUUGUUUUCGUGGAAGUUCUGACUUG
RNAcentral lists this small nucleolar RNA (73 nucleotides) under Gavia stellata (red-throated loon). RNAcentral's name for it is "Small nucleolar RNA SNORD18". It matches the Rfam family "Small nucleolar RNA SNORD18". Rfam says of the family: U18 is a member of the C/D class of snoRNA which contain the C (UGAUGA) and D (CUGA) box motifs. It is encoded in introns of ribosomal protein L1 in Xenopus and human, and in introns of elongation factor 1 beta in yeast. The record is from Rfam by way of RNAcentral. Lineage: Eukaryota; Metazoa; Chordata; Aves; Gaviiformes; Gaviidae.